UUUCCGUAGGUGAACCUGCGGAAGGAUCAUUACAGUAGUCGCCCGGGUUGCCGCAAGGCCUCCCGGGUAACCUACCACCCUUUGUUUAUUACACUUUGUUGCUUUGGCAGGCCUGCCCUCGGGCUGCUGGCUCCGGCUGGCGAGCGCUUGCCAGAGGACCUAAACUCUGUUUGUCUAUACUGUCUGAGUACUAUAUAAUAGUUAAAACUUUCAACAACGGAUCUCUUGGUUCUG
Molecule: unclassified non-coding RNA, 234 nt
Filed under: plant metagenome
Description: partial contains small subunit ribosomal RNA, internal transcribed spacer 1, and 5.8S ribosomal RNA
Source: RNAcentral